This 159-nucleotide ribosomal RNA is filed under the name uncultured bacterium. Its description in RNAcentral is "partial 16S ribosomal RNA". It matches the Rfam family "Bacterial small subunit ribosomal RNA", at positions 374 to 525 of the family's 1533-position model. The record is from RNAcentral.
GGGGAAACCCUGAUCCAGCCAUCCCGCGUGUGCGAUGAAGGCCUUCGGGUUGUAAAGCACUUUUGGCAGGGAAGAAACAGCCUGGGAUAAUACCUUGGGCGAAUGACGGUACCUGCAGAAUAAGCACCGGCUAACUACGUGCCAGCAGCCGCGGUAAUA